RNAcentral lists this unclassified non-coding RNA (301 nucleotides) under Hevea brasiliensis (rubber tree). The record is from RNAcentral. Lineage: Eukaryota; Viridiplantae; Streptophyta; Magnoliopsida; Malpighiales; Euphorbiaceae.
UCUUCCAACCUCCGCUUGUCAAAUGUCGGUUCCAAAUCUUGAGGGGGGUGAUUCUGCUGCAGGAGGUGAUUCUGGUGGCGUUGGUGGAGGAUUACUUGCUUGGUUUGAAGUGGGUGGUUUGUCUUCUUUAGAGACAUCAACUGAGCGAAUAGUGAAACCUUUUGAGGUUUUUGGAGAGAGAUGAAUGAUAAUUUGCAAUAAUGAGUAGUGGGUUUUUUGGGAGGGAAGGGAAGUGGGAAAGGUGGAAAGAGAAAGUGGGUCUUGUAGUUGCAGAAGCCAUCAAUGGCAUUAGUAUUUAAUG